GCUGAUGGCGACCGGCGCACGGGUGAGUAACACGUAUCCAACCUGCCGAUAACUCGGGGAUAGCCUUUCGAAAGAAAGAUUAAUAUCCGAUAGCAUAUCAAUCCCGCAUGAGAUUGAUAUUAAAGAAUUUCGGUUAUCGAUGGGGAUGCGUUCCAUUAGUUUGUUGGCGGGGUAACGGCCCACCAAGACUACGAUGGAUAGGGGUUCUGAGAGGAAGGUCCCCCACAUUGGAACUGAGACACGGUCCAAACUCCUACGGGAGGCAGCAGUGAGGAAUAUUGGUCAAUGGACGUAAGUCUGAACCAGCCAAGUAGCGUGAAGGAUGACUGCCCUAUGGGUUGUAAACUUCUUUUAUAUGGGAAUAAAGUAUUCCACGUGUGGGAUUUUGUAUGUACCAUAUGAAUAAGGAUCGGCUAACUCCGUGCCAGCAGCCGCGGUAAUACGGAGGAUCCGAGCGUUAUCCGGAUUUAUUGGGUUUAAAGGGAGCGUAGGUGGAUUGUUAAGUCAGUUGUGAAAGUUUGCGGCUCAACCGUAAAAUUGCAGUUGAAACUGGUAGUCUUGAGUACAGUAGAGGUGGGCGGAAUUCGUGGUGUAGCGGUGAAAUGCUUAGAUAUCACGAAGAACUCCGAUUGCGAAGGCAGCUCACUAGACUGUCACUGACACUGAUGCUCGAAAGUGUGGGUAUCAAACAGGAUUAGAUACCCUGGUAGUCCACACAGUAAACGAUGAAUACUCGCUGUUUGCGAUAUACAGUAAGCG
This 759-nucleotide ribosomal RNA is filed under the name uncultured bacterium. RNAcentral's name for it is "bacterial SSU rRNA". It matches the Rfam family "Bacterial small subunit ribosomal RNA", at positions 84 to 845 of the family's 1533-position model. The record is from RNAcentral.